UACAGAGGCCCCAAGCGUUACUGAGAAUCACUGGGUUUAAAGGGUGCGUAGGUGGUCCGUUAAGUCCAUUGUGAAAUCCCCGGGCUCAACCCGGGAACUGCUUUGGAUACUGGCGGACUUGAGGCCGGUAGGGGUCACUGGAACAGACGGUGGAGCGGUGAAAUGCGUAGAUAUCGUCUGGAACGCCGGUGGUGAAGACGGGUGGCUUGGCCGGUUCUGACACUGAGGCACGAAAGCGUGGGGAG
RNAcentral lists this ribosomal RNA (245 nucleotides) under uncultured bacterium. Its description in RNAcentral is "partial 16S ribosomal RNA". It matches the Rfam family "Bacterial small subunit ribosomal RNA", at positions 524 to 768 of the family's 1533-position model. The record is from RNAcentral.